UACGUAGGGUGCGAGCGUUGUCCGGAAUUACUGGGCGUAAAGAGCUCGUAGGUGGUUUGUCGCGUCGUCUGUGAAAUUCCGUGGCUUAACUCCGGGCGUGCAUGCGAUACGGGCAUAACUUGAGUACUGUAGGGGAGACUGGAAUUCCUGGUGUAGCGGUGAAAUGCGCAGAUAUCAGGAGGAACACCGGUGGCGAAGGCGGGUGUCUGGACAGUAACUGACGCUAAGGAAAGAAUGCAUGGGGAGCCAACAGG
RNAcentral lists this ribosomal RNA (254 nucleotides) under uncultured bacterium. Its description in RNAcentral is "partial 16S ribosomal RNA". It matches the Rfam family "Bacterial small subunit ribosomal RNA", at positions 524 to 776 of the family's 1533-position model. The record is from RNAcentral.